Molecule: ribosomal RNA, 1627 nt
Filed under: Clavulina effusa
Lineage: Eukaryota; Fungi; Basidiomycota; Agaricomycetes; Cantharellales; Hydnaceae
Description: eukaryotic LSU rRNA
Rfam family: Eukaryotic large subunit ribosomal RNA (bases 615-1627)
Source: RNAcentral
AGGAUCAUUAAUGAAUUUUGAUUGGGGGUUGAUGCUGGCAGUCACUUCUUUUGGCUGCAUGUGCUUGCCCCCAAUAAUCUUUAUCCAAACACCUGUGCAUGAAUUUCGAGGGUUUCCGGGUUGGUUUUUGCUGUCUUCUCGGAUUCCCUUGUAUUUCCCACUUUUAUACACUGCUUGCAAUGUCGAAAGUGUUUGUGCCGCAAGGCCAUUAACAAAAAAUACAACUUUUAACAACGGAUCUCGUGUCUCUCAUCUCUGAGAAAAACACCGCAAAGUGAUAUAUAUUGUGUGAUUGCAGAAUUCAGUGACUCAUCGAAUCUUUGAACGCACCUUGCGCUCCCUGGUAUUCCGGGGAGCACGCCUGUUCGAGUGUCGUGAAAUUUCUCAAGCUGAGAUGUUUUUCUUAGUCUUGGUGUUGGGCUCUGCCGUGUCUUUUAUUGGGAUGGCUGGCCUUAAAAGCAUUAGCUGACCCUUAUGUGGGCAAUUGGUUCUACUCAGCGUGAUUAAUGAUUUUGACCGCUGAGGACAUCUUUGGGGAUGGCCAGUUCUCAUUUGGGUUGCUUCUAAUCUUGGUUGUACGGAUUGUUAAUCUGUGCGGCCUCGUUUUUCAGCUUUGACCUCGAAUCAGGUGGGACUACCCGCUGAACUUAAGCAUAUCAAUAAGCGGAGGAAAAGAAACUAACAAGGAUUCCCCUAGUAACGGCGAGUGAAGCGGGAAAAGCUCAAAUUUAAAAUCUGGCAAUCUUUGGUUGUCCGAAUUGUAAUCUAGAGAAGCGUUUUCCGUGCUGGACUGUGUGCAAGUUUCCUGGAUACGGAACAUCAUAGAGGGUGAGAAUCCCGUCCUUCACACAGACUACCAGUGCUUUGUGAUGCGCUCUCGACGAGUCGAGUUGUUUGGGAUUGCAGCUCAAAAUGGGAGGUAAAUUCCUUCUAAAGCUAAAUAUUGGCGAGAGACCGAUAGCGAACAAGUACCGUGAGGGAAAGAUGAAAAGCACUUUGGAAAGAGAGUUAAACAGUACGUGAAAUUGUUAAAAGGGAAACGCUUGAAGUCAGUCAUGUUUGCUUGGACUCAGCCUUACCUCGGUUUGGUGCAUUUCCUUGCAGACGGGCCAGCGUUCAUGUUGUUUGCCAGAGAAGGAGCGAGAGAAUGUGACUCCUUUGGGAGUGUUAUAGCUCUCACUCGCAUGUGGGGAACAAUAUGGAGUGGUACAGCACGCUUUGGCGGUGCUUGUGCUGGCAUAAUGGCUUUAAACGACCCGUCUUGAAACACGGACCAAGGAGUCUAACAUGUCUGCGAGUGUUUGGGUGGAAAACCCGAGCGCGCAAUGAAAGUGAUGGCUGGGAAUCCCUUUUGGGAGGCACCGGUGCCCCGAGCUGACCUUCUGUGACGCAUCGGAGGCAGAGCAUAUAUGUUGGGACCCGAAAGAUGGUGAACUAUGCCUGAAUAGGGCGAAGCCAGAGGAAACUCUGGUGGAGGCUCGUAGCGAUUCUGACGUGCAAAUCGAUCGUCAAAUUUGGGUAUAGGGGCGAAAGACUAAUCGAACCAUCUAGUAGCUGGUUCCUGCCGAAGUUUCCCUCAGGAUAGCAGAAACUCGUUAUCAGUUUUAUGUGGUAAAGCGAAUGAUUA